This 252-nucleotide ribosomal RNA is filed under the name uncultured bacterium. RNAcentral describes it as "partial 16S ribosomal RNA". It matches the Rfam family "Bacterial small subunit ribosomal RNA", at positions 524 to 776 of the family's 1533-position model. The record is from RNAcentral.
UACGUAGGGGGCGAGCGCUGUCCGGAGUACUGGGCGUAAAGCGCACGCAGGCGGUCUGCUAAGUUUGGAGUGACAGUUGGUGGCUUAACUGCCAAAGUGCUUCGAAAACUGACAGACUUGAGGGCUUCAGAGGGACACGGAAUUCCGGGUGGAGUGGUGAAAUGCGUAGAGAUCCGGAGGAACACCAAAGGCGAAGGCAGUGUCCUGGGGAGUACCUGACGCUCAGGUGCGAAAGCCAGGGGAGCGAACGGG